RNAcentral lists this long non-coding RNA (611 nucleotides) under Brachypodium distachyon (stiff brome). RNAcentral describes it as "long non-coding RNA (BDIS_LNC001218)". Lineage: Eukaryota; Viridiplantae; Streptophyta; Magnoliopsida; Poales; Poaceae. The record is from RNAcentral.
AAGCCCCCUGACAGGUGGGCCCCACCUGUCAGCGGGUGCAGGCGCGGCGCGGGUGAGCGGCUGGGCCGGCAGGGCUGCGGCAUGCGCGAGGGAGUUGGGCCGGUUCGGCCCAAUUCGGCCGGGCCAGUCCGUUUGCUCCUUGUUUUUUUCUUUUACCCUUUUCUUUUUCUGUUUUUCUUAUUCCUUUGAUAUCUUUUGAUUUUGAACUCCAAAUUAGUCCAAAUAAAUCCUAGAAAAUUUGUAAAAUCAUGUUCUACCAUGAUACAACUUUUGGAAGUAGUUUCUAUUCAAAAUAAAAUAUAUAAAAAUACAUUUGCCCUAUAAAUGCCUUUAGGGCCAUAUAUCUAUUUAAAUAAAAUACUUUUUCAACUCCAAAUAAUUAUCCAAAAAUUAUGGGAUAGCUUAUAUAUGCACUAAACACCUUUUAUACAUAAAACCUAUUGGUUUGAAAAUGCAAAACUCAAAUGGGUGUAAACCCUAGGGUUCAAAAUGAAACAAAGUCUUUUAAAGCCCUUUUGAGAUUCAAAAUUUGAAUUCAAAUAUGCAAUUGUGGCAUGAUGCUCAUGGGUGUAAUGCAUGUGUAAAAGUUUGAAAUUUUGGAAUGUUACAUG